Molecule: non-coding RNA, 570 nt
Organism: Musa acuminata subsp. malaccensis (wild Malaysian banana)
Lineage: Eukaryota; Viridiplantae; Streptophyta; Magnoliopsida; Zingiberales; Musaceae
Source: RefSeq, a predicted model, not a curated record
CGCCCACCUCCAACACUCUAAUCACACGUAGAUCGUUCCAUCCCGGCUUGCCGCCCUGACUCCUGCUCCAAAAAGCUCCGUGAUUUAGGGUUUCAGAUAUGGGGAUCGGAAGAAGAAGAAGCAGCAGCAGAGGAACAAGGGUCUCGCCGAGGUCUCUUGCUGUUUUCUGCUGCACUCGGUUUCUCACGGUUCGGCUGCCAUCCGCUCCCUUUCUCCGGCAGGUUGAGUCUUGAUCUGGAUUUCUUGCUGCGGUUGCUAUAAAGAUUCGAUCUUGGAAGAAGGGAAUUCUUGUAUCUCAUUGGGGAAAAGAACAGUGGCAGAGUAGGCUGUGAAUUCUACAGCCCAUAAAUAUUUGAAUUAAGCGGUUUCAGUGAACUAUUUUUUCAAAACUUAUAGGAUCUAAAAUAAAUAAGGUAAAUGUUGAAUCAUAAUUUGUUAAUGAUAUGAAUUUUCUUAGAGAGGUUUCAUCUAAGAAAUCAUAUGAUGAAUUUGAACUACUAAUAGGUGAGGCUGAUGAUAAACUUGUUAUAACAAAAUAUGUCAUUUAAUUUUAUGGAGUGUUUAGUUUUG